AACAUUGGGGGGAAAAAACACAACUACUGAUCUGGAGCCAGGUCUGCCAGACUUGCCUCAAGCCCUGGGAAGCCUCAGGAUUCCAGAACCUGUCCUGUCCUCUUUGAGCAAAAUACAGUAAUACCGAGAGAGCCUACUAUGGGACAGAGCCUGUGCUGGGUUUGGGAGGUGGUGUCUAUGAGGGUAAAUUAGACGUGUGCAAAGUGCCUCCUUUCGUUGGCUCACUCGGUAAACCUGUAUUGGUCACCUACUCUGUGCCAACCCCUGUGCCAGAGGCUGAAGUUGCCUCUGUGAAUGAGGAGCACCCCACCCCCACCCCAGCUCCCAAACUGCCUCACGGCCUGGCAAGGGAGACCCACCAUCAACUCGAAUUUGCACACAGCGUCUACACAUUACUACCGAACAUCAAAGGAAGAAGAGGCGGCUCACUGUCUUCAUUUGCAAACCGGGAGAAAGAACACUGAUAAAAGCAACGACUCAGCUCCAGGAGUUGUGGGGAUUAAAUGAGAUGAUAAAUGUAAAGUGCUUACUACAGUGCCUGGUCCAAGCUUCAGGAUUUUUGAGGCCUCAUGAAACCAGAUCCGAGAAGGUCUUCGUUUUUAAAGAUGCCGUCGGGGCUCUCUCUGGAAGGAGGUGACCCAGCUGUUGCACACAGGUCUCUACGGACCAUGUCCCUGUGGAAUCUGCAGGUGGGGCGGGGCACGGGUGACCAGGUGGUCCGGCACCGGAUCGGAGCUCUGAGGGCAUCAGAAGUUCUGUGGUCCGAAAGGUCUCCCAGCCAGCUCUGAUUCAAUGCGAGUCAUUUCUACCUCUUGGGGGUCUUUUGGAAAGUAAACAGCAGCCACCACAGCUCAGCUGAUGAUUGCAUGUCCUGGGGACCACGCGUCUUUGAGGUAGGUGCUACCAUUCUACCCACCGCACAGAUGAGGAAACUGAGGUGCGGAGAUGCUGGGCCACUUUUCCUGGAUGUUACAACGUCUCACUUGCAAAGCCAAGAUGGAAUCUGGAGCUGUCUGAGGCUAACUCAGCAAGACACUCUCCCAGCAGGGACGCUUUUGUCUGGUGGACCUCAUGUUGCCAAACGCUGCCACUCUCUUGCUGCGUGAGCUUGAGGGAGUCCCUCUACCUCUCUGGGCACCGGUCUGUGAGGUGGAUCCAGUGGGUCGGCUACCCCAGCCCUGCAUGGACUUGACCGGGGUGUGUUUCUUUGAGCCGGUCUUUCUCCACGGUGGAUAGCAGCGGCCCUUUUCUGGUCUCUGAUCUCCACGAAGUUCGAGAGGAGGGAGGACAAGGGAGCAGCGUGCCCCGCCCCCUUCCUCGAUGAGAUGCGAUGCUUUCCGUGUGAAUUCUGAUUGCCUAGGCCUCAAGUCCUUCAUUAUAUCAUCACUACCACUUUAUAGACAUCUGAGGCCUGGGACAGAUGGCUGUUUUGGUAUCUCCCACGUGGUAGCAAAAAGGGCCGGGGUAGAAAUCCAGAUUUCCAGAGGGCCUCCCGGGCCAUGGGCAUUAUUCAGUCAAUGGUUUGUGUCUCCCUUCCGCCAGCGAUGUCUCCUCUCCGCCUCGUCGAGGGGUCAGACGCUUACUGUCGAGACUCCUCCCCCAUCAGGGCACUUUGUGAGGGGUUGGGGAGCAGGAAGAUGAAUCAGACUCAGUUCUGGCCCCAGGAGUUCAGUUGGAGAAGAUUAAAUAUGAAACCAGUAAAAGAUAUGAAAUGCCCCCCGGAAGGAAGGGUUUGCCGUGACCGAGCUCAUCAGUGUAGAUAAAUAGAGUGACUGCUGAUUGUACGUGUUCCCUGGAGAAGUUUAGAAGUGGAGGCGAGGAGGGUUCCAGUUUCCGCUCCAGUGAAAAAGCUCCCUGCCCCUCCCUAGCUGUGAGGGUGUGGGCAAGUCACUUUACCCCUUCUGCAGUCCUCAUGGCUUUUCUAAUCUGAGACCCUCAGGGUCCUCAGAGGCCAACUUUGGAGAGUGUAGACAGGGAAGAUGAGCCCGUGUUGGGGACAAGACACCCUCUGCAUCCGGAGGCCUGGUUCUGCAUUUGGAUUUGCUGUGUGGCCUUGGGAGAGUUCUGAGCCUCUCUCUUGCAUGUCUCAAUCUUUGAAUUGGGAAUUAUGUGUCCCCAGCCUUGGGGACGUUGGCCAGAGCUUCCUGGAGCACAAUGUCGGGGCUCUCCGAGAUGUAAUGAUUAAUAUGUGGCAGGCAUUGGGGCGCCUGGGUGGCUCAGUCGGUUGAGCGUCCGACUUCGGCUGAGGUCAUG
Long non-coding RNA from Herpailurus yagouaroundi (jaguarundi), 2253 nucleotides. RefSeq lists it as uncharacterized. The transcript is spliced from 3 exons. The record is from RefSeq and is a predicted model, not a curated record. Lineage: Eukaryota; Metazoa; Chordata; Mammalia; Carnivora; Felidae.